RNAcentral lists this ribosomal RNA (253 nucleotides) under uncultured bacterium. Its description in RNAcentral is "partial 16S ribosomal RNA". It matches the Rfam family "Bacterial small subunit ribosomal RNA", at positions 524 to 776 of the family's 1533-position model. The record is from RNAcentral.
UACAGAGGUCCCGAGCGUUGUUCGGAUUCACUGGGCGUAAAGGGUGCGUAGGUGGCGAGGUAAGUCGGAUGUGAAAGCUCGGAGCUCAACUCCGAAAUGGCAUUGGAAACUAUCUUGCUCGAGGGUUGGAGGGGGGACUGGAAUACUUGGUGUAGCAGUGAAAUGCGUAGAUAUCAAGUGGAACACCAGUGGCGAAGGCGAGUCCCUGGACAACUCCUGACACUGAGGCACGAAAGCUAGGGGAGCAAACAGG